RNAcentral lists this RNase P RNA (354 nucleotides) under human gut metagenome. RNAcentral's name for it is "Bacterial RNase P class A". It matches the Rfam family "Bacterial RNase P class A". Rfam says of the family: Ribonuclease P (RNase P) is a ubiquitous endoribonuclease, found in archaea, bacteria and eukarya as well as chloroplasts and mitochondria. Its best characterised activity is the generation of mature 5'-ends of tRNAs by cleaving the 5'-leader elements of precursor-tRNAs. The record is from RNAcentral.
AGUGAGCUGAGCAGCCGCGUGCGCAGCGCCGAAAGGCCGCGCAUGAGGAAAGUCCGGGCUUCGCAGGGCAGGAUAGCGGAUAACGUCCGCCGAAGGCGACUUUAGGACAAGUGCAACAGAGAUAUACCGCCGCGCUUGCGCGGUAAGGGUGGAAAGGCGGGGUAAGAGCCCACCGGUCCCCCAGGUGACUGCGGGACCCUGUAAACUCUAUCCGAAGCAACACCGCAAGGAGAACAGCGCUUUGAUGCGCAGGGCUUGCCCGGCCCGUUUUCGGGAGGUGGCUCGAGGCGUGUGGCAACAUGCGUCCCAGAUAGAUGGCUGCAUAAACAGAACCCGGCUUAUAGGCUGACUCAU